RNAcentral lists this ribosomal RNA (400 nucleotides) under uncultured bacterium. Its description in RNAcentral is "bacterial SSU rRNA". It matches the Rfam family "Bacterial small subunit ribosomal RNA", at positions 356 to 773 of the family's 1533-position model. The record is from RNAcentral.
GGGGAAUAUUGGACAAUGGGCGAAAGCCUGAUCCAGCCAUGCCGCGUGAGUGAUGAAGGCCUUAGGGUUGUAAAGCUCUUUCGCCGGUGAAGAUAAUGACGGUAACCGGAGAAGAAGCCCCGGCUAACUUCGUGCCAGCAGCCGCGGUAAUACGAAGGGGGCUAGCGUUGCUCGGAAUCACUGGGCGUAAAGCGCACGUAGGCGGAUCGUUAAGUCAGGGGUGAAAUCCUGGAGCUCAACUCCAGAACUGCCCUUGAUACUGGCGAUCUCGAGUUCGAGAGAGGUUGGUGGAACUCCGAGUGUAGAGGUGAAAUUCGUAGAUAUUCGGAAGAACACCAGUGGCGAAGGCGGCCAACUGGCUCGAUACUGACGCUGAGGUGCGAAAGCGUGGGGAGCAAAC